UCCCGGCAGCGCAGGCGCCGCGCAGGCCGCGCAGGCCCCGCAGGCCCCGGCCCCGCCAUGGCCGCGCUGCACGGCAAGGCGGGCGGGCCCCCGCAGAUCCCGGACACGCGGCGGGAGCUGGCGGAGCUGGUGAAGCGCAAGCAGGAGCUGGCGGAGACGCUGGCCAACCUGGAGCGGCAGAUCUACGCCUUCGAGGGCAGCUACCUGGAGGACACGCAGAUGUACGGAAACAUCAUCCGCGGCUGGGACCGCUACCUCACCAACCAGAAGAACUCCAACAGCAAAAACGACCGGAGGAACCGCAAGUUCAAGGAGGCCGAGCGGCUCUUCAGCAAGUCCUCGGUCACCUCAGCAGCGGCUGUCAGUGCACUAGCUGGAGUUCAGGACCAGCUCAUUGAGAAGCGGGAGCCCGGCAGUGGCACAGAAAGUGACACUUCUCCAGACUUCCACAAUCAAGAGAAUGAGCCCAGCCAGGAGGAUGCUGAGGAGCUGGAUGGGUCUGUGCAGGGGGUAAAACCCCAGAAAGCUGCUUCUUCUACUUCUUCUGGGAGCCACCACAGCAGCCACAAAAAACGGAAGAACAAAAAUCGACACAGGUAUGUAUAUUAGGUUAGGCUGGGAAGUUUUUUUUAAAAACAGAAAAGCGUGAUGGAGGAUUGAUCUCAAGUUAAACAAAAAGCCAAGAGCCGACUACUAGACUCAUCAGUGCUGAUGCUUCUGAGAUUUAGGUCUACAUGAAUCCCCACUGAGAAAAAUGCCAGUCGACCGAGUGAGCAGGAUGGCAGCGCUCUGGCCAAGAGUCUGCAGAUGGGAGGGGCUCACUCCAAAGAGCUUACAUGGGGGGAGAACAUCUUGGACCAUGUACUUUGCAUCAUUUUUAGAUCACCUGAGUUGCAGGAAGACUAAGGUGAGCAGUGGUAGUAGUAGUAGUCCUGAAUUCCUGACUAUUCUGUGCUUCCACCUCAGUCGGGAACUGCCUAAAAUUGGCGGAUCCUGCUGCUGCCACCCCUGUCACCUGCAACCCAUGGAGAGGCAUUUCUUUUUCCACUGGAACUGGGCUGUGAUUCUGUAUGUCCCACCUAUGUUGUAAGACUUAGAGUACUUCAGUUGCUGAUAUUUAGCUUUGUAGUUUUACUUUUGUUUUGGUUUCUUGUUGCUUUUGUUGUUUGUUUUUUUUAAACCAAAGUGUAUAGUUAACAAAUUGACUUUUGGUUUGUUUGUUUGGAUCCUCGUAGAGUGGCAGGUUCUUCAUUGUGUGGAAGAGCUCAUUUUGAUUCUUACUCAUGCAGAGAGAAGAAAGUGGUUAAACCCUUUUCUAUAACUUUAAUUUUCAACACCAUCCCCUAAAAUGUAUGCAGAGCUUUUAGAUGCAGGGAAGGCUGGAGCUCAAAGCCCUCUUGCUCUUUGCUGUCUUUGAGGUUGGGUAGAUUCUCUUUUUAAUACAAACUUCUGUCAUUUGUACAUAAACAAUAAAAGUUACAUGUUUGUCUCUCUUCUUA
This is an RNA transcript of Apus apus (common swift), 1499 nucleotides long. It is a transcript of the gene named MYST/Esa1 associated factor 6, with no coding region annotated. The transcript has 8 exons. The record is from RefSeq and is a predicted model, not a curated record. Lineage: Eukaryota; Metazoa; Chordata; Aves; Apodiformes; Apodidae.